This 75-nucleotide transfer RNA is filed under the name Halydictyon mirabile. RNAcentral's name for it is "tRNA-Asn". It matches the Rfam family "tRNA". From Rfam's summary of the family: Transfer RNA (tRNA) molecules are approximately 80 nucleotides in length. Their secondary structure includes four short double-helical elements and three loops (D, anti-codon, and T loops). The record is from RNAcentral. Lineage: Eukaryota; Rhodophyta; Florideophyceae; Ceramiales; Dasyaceae.
UUCCUUAGUAGCUCAGUGGUAGAGCAAUCGGCUGUUAACCGAUUGGUUGUAGGUUCAAAUCCUACCUAAGGAGUC